UGGGGAAUAUUGCACAAUGGGCGCAAGCCUGAUGCAGCCAUGCCGCGUGUGUGAAGAAGGCCUUCGGGUUGUAAAGCACUUUCAGCGGGGAGGAAGGCGAUAAGGUUAAUAACCUUGUCGAUUGACGUUACCCGCAGAAGAAGCACCGGCUAACUCCGUGCCAGCAGCCGCGGUAAUACGGAGGGUGCAAGCGUUAAUCGGAAUUACUGGGCGUAAAGCGCACGCAGGCGGUCUGUCAAGUCGGAUGUGAAAUCCCCGGGCUUAACCUGGGAACUGCAUUCGAAACUGGCAGGCUGGAGUCUCGUAGGGGGGGGUAGAAUUCCAGGUGUAGCGGUGAAAUGCGUAGAGAUCUGGAGGAAUACCGGUGGCGAAGGCGGCCCCCUGGACGGAGACUGACGCUCAGGUGCGAAAGCGUGGGGAGCAAACAGG
Molecule: ribosomal RNA, 429 nt
Filed under: Chloroflexota bacterium
Lineage: Bacteria; Bacillati; Chloroflexota
Description: Chloroflexi bacterium partial 16S ribosomal RNA
Rfam family: Bacterial small subunit ribosomal RNA
Source: RNAcentral